Molecule: long non-coding RNA, 208 nt
Organism: Carassius auratus (goldfish)
Lineage: Eukaryota; Metazoa; Chordata; Actinopteri; Cypriniformes; Cyprinidae
Exons: 3
Source: RefSeq, a predicted model, not a curated record
CGUUAUGUUACUGUGAAUAUUCCUGGAGAUUUAAGGACUCUUACUCUGUGUGAGGUGGAGGUCUAUGGAGAAGGUCCUUUACUGAAGAGAACUUUCCUGAAGAUGAAACUGAAGUCCAGUUGGAGUCUGUCUGAUCCUGCGGUGAGAGUCCAGCUCCUGUCACAGCUCCAGUCUGUUUUGGUGGAACGAGGGUUUUCUGACGUGACGC